CCCUUAGAUGUUCUGGGCCGCACGCGCGCUACACUGUUCGACGCAGCGAGUCUUAACCUUGACCGAAAGGUUUGGGUAAUCUUCAGCAAAGUCGAACGUGAUGGGGAUCGAUCAUUGCAAUUAUUGAUCGUGAACGAGGAAUUCCUAGUAAGUGCAAGUCAUCAGCUUGCGCUGAUUACGUCCCUGCCCUUUGUACACACCGCCCGUCGCUACUACCGAUUGAAUGGUUUAGUGAGAUCUCUGGAUUGACGCUGGCUAGGGGCGACCCUUGGCCAGGCUGUCGAGAAACUGCUCAAACUUGAUCAUUUAGAGGAAGUAAAAGUCGUAACA
This 330-nucleotide ribosomal RNA is filed under the name uncultured eukaryote. RNAcentral's name for it is "partial 18S ribosomal RNA". It matches the Rfam family "Eukaryotic small subunit ribosomal RNA", at positions 1470 to 1796 of the family's 1831-position model. The record is from RNAcentral.